GACGAACGCUGGCGGCGUGCUUAACACAUGCAAGUCGAACGGAAAGGCCCUGCUUUUGUGUGGUGCUCGAGUGGCGAACGGGUGAGUAACACGUGAGUAACCUGCCCUUGACUUUGGGUUAACGUCAGGAAACUGGGGCUAAUACCGGAUAGGAGGUCCUGCUGCAUGGUGGGUGUGGGAUAGUUUCGGCGGUUGGGGAUGGACUCGCGGCUGAUCAGCUUGUGGGUGGGGUAGUGGCUUACCAAGGCUUUGACGGGUAGCCGGCCUGAGAGGGUGAACGGGCACAUUGGGACUGCGAUAGGGACCAGAGUGGUAUGGGAGGCAGCAGUGGGGAACAUUGCACAGUGGGCGGAAGCCUGGUACAGCAGCGCCGCGUGCGGGAUGACGGCCUUCGGGUUGUAAAACGCUUUCGCCUGUGACGAAGCGUGAGUGACGGUAAUGGGUAAAGAAGCACCGGCUAACUACGUG
Molecule: ribosomal RNA, 468 nt
Filed under: uncultured bacterium
Lineage: Bacteria
Description: partial 16S ribosomal RNA
Rfam family: Bacterial small subunit ribosomal RNA
Source: RNAcentral